RNAcentral lists this ribosomal RNA (420 nucleotides) under Campylobacter concisus. RNAcentral's name for it is "bacterial SSU rRNA". It matches the Rfam family "Bacterial small subunit ribosomal RNA", at positions 29 to 448 of the family's 1533-position model. Lineage: Bacteria; Pseudomonadati; Campylobacterota; Epsilonproteobacteria; Campylobacterales; Campylobacteraceae. The record is from RNAcentral.
AGUGAACGCUGGCGGCGUGCCUAAUACAUGCAAGUCGAACGGACAAGUAAGAGCUUGCUCUUAUGAGUUAGUGGCGCACGGGUGAGUAAUGUAUAGCUAAUCUGCCCUACACUAGAGGACAACAGUUGGAAACGGCUGCUAAUACUCUAUACACCUCUCUAGCAUAAGUUAGAUAGGGAAAGUUUUUCGGUGUAGGAUGAGGCUAUAUUGUAUCAGCUAGUUGGUGAGGUAAUGGCUCACCAAGGCUAUGACGCAUAACUGGUCUGAGAGGAUGAUCAGUCACACUGGAACUGAGACACGGUCCAGACUCCUACGGGAGGCAGCAGUAGGGAAUAUUGCUCAAUGGGGGAAACCCUGAAGCAGCAACGCCGCGUGGAGGAUGACACUUUUCGGAGCGUAAACUCCUUUUGUUAGGGAAGA